This 2216-nucleotide unclassified non-coding RNA is filed under the name Hevea brasiliensis (rubber tree). Lineage: Eukaryota; Viridiplantae; Streptophyta; Magnoliopsida; Malpighiales; Euphorbiaceae. The record is from RNAcentral.
AAUAACAAUAAUUUAAAAUCCGACUCCACUUGAAUCGUCCAUCCACGAGAACCGGACAAGAUCCGAUGAUACACAGCGGGUCCAAACUCUCCACCGACCUAACACCGUUCAAGCGCUUCACAAAUAGAAUAGAAGCUACAAGAAGGACCGCAGGCCACGAAAAGGAGGCAGCGAGUUUUCCAAGCUCCGGCACACCUGUUUAAACGAGGAGUAUACUGAUAGGGCAAAAAGGAUGCGUAGAAACCAGUUCCAGCCGCCAUACACAAUGUCUCACAAGAGGGCUUCUGGCACCCGCCCACCAACUCCUGUUGCAGACCAAGUUCAUGUUCAUUCAAGCCAUCAGCCUACCCUUCAGGAAAUCAUCAAUAUUAAGUUGAUUGAGAGUGGAGAAAAGGAGCGAUUGAUGGAACUUUUGAGGGAAAGGCUUAUAGAAUGUGGCUGGAAAGAUGAAAUGAAAGCUCUUUGCAGGUCUUUUGCAGCUAUUUUAUUUAGUCAUUUAUUUAUUUAUAUCAAAACUAUCAACCCAAUUGACUUGGUUUUUAGUAUAUCGACUGCUUGUUUGUGGGUUAGUAGGUAAUCUACAAAUCAAGAAAUGUAUUUUAUAUUUCCUUUCAGUAUGAGGGAUGUUGUGAAGAAUGGAGAUUGAGGUAGACUGCAGGAGAAAAGUAGCAUAGUAUUAUUGUUAAGCAUCCUGAGAAGUUUAAAACUUGAGCAUUAUUAGCUGCAAUUUUCUUUUCCUUUUCGAAAAAGGCAACAGAGCAACAUGACUUUGAAACUAGUUCUGCUUUUUUAUAAUAUUAAAUGUGUUGCACUAUAGCCUUGUUUCAAUUUCAUUGUCUAUUCUCGCUUUUUUCUACUCCAUUCAUUUAUCCAUUUGAUUGCUAGUCUGUACUAAGCAGAUGCUUACGCUGAACUAAGAUUGCUGUUUUAGUGAAACAGCAACAUUUACGUUGUUAAAUGUUUUAAAUUUUAGUUGCACUCUGGCCAAUUGUAAAAUGGGCAUCUUCCACGAGGCAAUCAGAGCAGUAGAGUAAGCAAGGAAAUAGCUUAAUGCUGGUCUAAGUUGGUACUGCACUACAAUUAGUUGGCUGAGCAGAGUGAUGGGGGUUAUUAUGGUGCAGUACUGUGUUGUAUUUGUAUUAUAAAAUGCUUUGAACCCUAGUAAUAUAUAUUAAUCAAUUGGGACUAGAGUUUUUAUUGUAUUUUAUUGCAUUGAAUUUUCUAGCGUGAUUGAUAGUAAUUAACACUAGAGUUUUGAUGUUUUUAGAACAACUUGAAUUCUCCAAUUUCUGUUGUGAAUAUUGCACCCUCUUUACUUUGGACACAGAUCGACUGAUUAAACCACAUAAAUACUAUUUUCAUUUCUUGUCAUUACAUCCAUGAAUGACACCAUAACCUAAGUCUGAUGCCUCACAUUGUGAACUAGCAUAUAAUGGCCGAACAAGUGAUUUCAACUUGGGUCAAAUUAAAAUAUUUGGAGUAUAGCUAAAAAUCAUUGAAAUAAGUUGAUGAUCAAGAACAGUGAUGGAGCCUGGGGAAACAUAAGUGUAUAGCCAACACUAACGGUUUGAAAAUAUUUGUUUAUGAAUGAAGCUGAGAUGUAACAAAGAGUCGUGUUGCAAAUGAUAGUAGAGUUGCCGUGUGUGUACAGGAGGUUCUUUGGCUGCCCCUGGAGUUUUAUGGUUUGUUUGUUUAUAGAGAUUACUGUCUGAUACUGGUUUGGAAUUAGAUGAAUAAGAUGGAGUUGAAUCCACUGACUCUGAUUUUGCGAGAGAGAUACAUGAAGCUGUGUUUCCCAUUGGCAAAUCUUGAGAUUCACUGUAGAUGCCAAUGUGGCUAAAUUUGUGUUUGGUGAAGUGAAGCCACCCUUAGCAAAUGUUUGUGCUCCAUUCCUUCUUUCAUUUAUUUCAGAGUGUAUAAAAGAACUAAUGGAAUAUGAAGUCAGAUGCUUUCUGUAGUUGUAAGGUGUUGUGUUAGAUUUUUACCAUUUUGGACCUUUUCAUAAGGAUUUUGGGGGAUGCUCUUAUAUUUUUAUUAGUUUUUUUCCCUAAUGCAUUUGGAUUUUCCUGAUGCUUGUAGUGCUGCAUUAAAUCAAUGGAAAAAUCUUCCCAUUUUGCUUAAUUUUUUAAUUUUUCCUUCGUAAUUGUUUAAUGUGUUUUUAAAAUUUUGGAAAUCACUCUUGACCUUAUCCAUGUAGGGCAUUUAUAAAGAAGAAA